GAUGAACGCUGGCGGCGUGCCUAAUACAUGCAAGUCGAGCGAACAGACGAGGAGCUUGCUCCUCUGAUGUUAGCGGCGGACGGGUGAGUAACACGUGGAUAACCUACCUAUAAGACUGGGAUAACUUCGGGAAACCGGAGCUAAUACCGGAUAACAUGUUGAACCGCAUGGUUCAACAGUGAAAGACGGUCUUGCUGUCACUUAUAGAUGGAUCCGCGCCGCAUUAGCUAGUUGGUAAGGUAACGGCUUACCAAGGCAACGAUGCGUAGCCGACCUGAGAGGCUGAUCGGCCACACUGGAACUGAGACACGGUCCAGACUCCUACGGGAGGCAGCAGUAGGGAAUCUUCCGCAAUGGGCGAAAGCCUGACGGAGCAACGCCGCGUGGGUGAAGAAGGUCUUCGGAUCGUAAAACUCUGUUAUUAGGGAAGAACAAAUGUGUAAGUAACUAUGCACGUCUUGACGGUACCUAAUCAGAAAGCCACGGCUAACUACGUG
RNAcentral lists this ribosomal RNA (497 nucleotides) under uncultured bacterium. RNAcentral describes it as "partial 16S ribosomal RNA". It matches the Rfam family "Bacterial small subunit ribosomal RNA", at positions 28 to 507 of the family's 1533-position model. The record is from RNAcentral.